RNAcentral lists this ribosomal RNA (468 nucleotides) under uncultured bacterium. RNAcentral's name for it is "partial 16S ribosomal RNA". It matches the Rfam family "Bacterial small subunit ribosomal RNA", at positions 28 to 507 of the family's 1533-position model. The record is from RNAcentral.
GACGAACGCUGGCGGCGUGCUUAACACAUGCAAGUCGAACGGACAGGCCCUGCUUUUGUUGUUUGCUCGAGUGGCGAACGGGUGAGUAACACGUGUGUAACCUCCCCUUGACUUUGUGAUAACUUCAGGAAACUGCGGCUCAUACCGGAUAGGAGCUCCUGCUGCAUGUUGUGGGUUGGAAAGAUUCGGCGGUUGGGGAUGGACUCGCGGCUUAUCAGCUUGUUGGUGUGGUAGUGGCUUACCAAGGCUUUGACGGGUAGCCGGCCUGAGAGGGUUACCGGCGACAUGGGGACUGAGAUACGGCCCAGAAUCCUACGGGAGGCAGCAGGGGGGAAUAUUGCACAAUGGGCGGAAGCCUGAUGCAGCAACGCCGCGUGCGGGAUGACGGCCUUCGGGUUGUAAACAGAUUUCGCAUGUGACGAAGCGUGAGUGACGGUAAUGGGUAAAGAAGCACCGGCUAACUACGUG